This 240-nucleotide ribosomal RNA is filed under the name uncultured bacterium. RNAcentral's name for it is "partial 16S ribosomal RNA". It matches the Rfam family "Bacterial small subunit ribosomal RNA", at positions 537 to 776 of the family's 1533-position model. The record is from RNAcentral.
AGCGUUGUCCGGAAUCAUUGGGCGUAAAGAGCGUGUAGGCGGCUAGGUAGGUCCGUUGUGAAAACUCGAGGCUCAACCUCGAGACGCCGAUGGAAACCAUCUGGCUAGAGUCCGGAAGAGGAGAGUGGAAUUCCUGGUGUAGCGGUGAAAUGCGCAGAUAUCAGGAAGAACACCCGUGGCUAAGGCGGCUCUCUAGUACGGUACUGACGCUGAGACGCGAAAGCGUGGGGAGCGAACAGG